GGCUCUGUCUGUCUCUCUCUGUCCUGCAAUCGCUCAUUCUCUCUGAUUUCGCCAUGGAUGGGAGUAAGCAGAGGUUCGACGCUCUCGGAGAAGCAGAGAGGUAAAGAGAAGACGUUGAAGGAGAAGAAGAUGAUGAUGAUGAUAGUGGCGGUGGCGGGAACGAUGUAGAAUUGGAGGAAGUUGAUGAUGAUGACGGUGGCAGUGGUGAAGUUAGGAGCCAACUCGGUGGGUUAGACUGUUCGUUACCACCUCCAAUCAAAGCACAGUUGGGCGGUUCUCAAUUGGAAACCCUAGCCAACUCCGAUCUUCCAUGCGAUUUUGUUGCUUCUUCUCGCCAUUUCUUGGAGGUGCCAGUGGUUUAUGCUCUUCUAUGGCUGCUGGAUUCGGCUGCAUUCAAGGUAUACAGAAUUUGGUGGUGUAGUUCCUUAUAGACCUGUUGAAGACUUGGCAUUUUCAGUUACUAGGUUUAUACAAAAUAAUGUUUCACUCAUGAAUUAUUAUAUGUACCAUGGCGGAACAAAUUUUGGGCGGGCAGUUGCUGGUCUCUUCAUUGCCAUUAGCUACGACUAUGAUGCUCCGAUUGAUGAAUAUGGUAUGAGACCCAAAAACAAAAACAAAAAUACAAAAAAUACAAAGAAAAAAGUGUGUAUACACACGCAUAUAUUGUGAGAUCAUGAGUAAGAUUAUCAUGAAUGUAUAUAUGAUACGAAUAAUUUGUUAUCUUGAAGGAUUACUAAAAGAACCAAAAUGGGGGCAUUUGACAAAUUUGCACAAAGCUAUCAAGCAAUGUGAACCAGUUUUGGUUUCCUCGCAUCCUGCAGUGACUUGGCCUGGCAAUAAUCUAGAGGAACCGUGUACGGGCCGCUAGAGAAUCCAAAACUGACAUAUAGCAGCACUGUGAAGUUGAGAGCCGGAAUUAACAAGAUUUCUUUACUAAGUGUUGCUGUUGGCCUUCCGGUUAGUCCAUACCUUCUGAUAAAAGUUUACAUUCUUGGGAUGUUAAUGACAGUAAUGGAAUCUUUCUAAAUUCUAUUGGAUCGAUUUCAUAAUGUCGGUGUGCAUUAUGAGACAUGGAACACGGGGGUUCUUGGCCCGGUCACACUGAAGGGCCUCAAUGAGGGGACAAGAGACUUGACAAAGCAACAGUGGUCUUACAAGGCGAGAACUUAAAACUGCAAACACUUGAUGGAAGUUCCUCUGUUGAGUGGGCUGAGGGAUCACUAUUGGCUACAAAACAACCCUUGACAUGGUACAAGGUAAUAAUCAUCCCAAAACCCCCGUUAACGCCUUUUUAUUGAUACUUAUGAGUUCCAUUACCCAUAGACGCACAAAUGAAUUCAUAAAAGAAGCUUUUAAUU
Non-coding RNA from Camellia sinensis, 1358 nucleotides. Lineage: Eukaryota; Viridiplantae; Streptophyta; Magnoliopsida; Ericales; Theaceae. The record is from RefSeq and is a predicted model, not a curated record.